GAUCGAAGUGGCUUGCAUUACUUUUGGGCAGGCUCCUUGUGGAAUGCAAUGAGAGACAGGUGGAUAGAGCGUUGGACUAGUUAACUGUAAGGUUGCAAGAUUGCAUCCCCGAGCUGACAAGGCCCUCCCUGUCAACACCACCUCAUAAGAUGAGGAAGUACUUUGUUUAAGAGGAUUGCCUGCUGCAGUUGUUCGAGAGAUGUCUAGUUUGCAGCUGAACAUGCAACAUAGAGAAGACCAGCAAGGGGACCCUCAGCAUAACAUAGACAUGACCUCGCUGGCGCUGGCAAAGACCUUACCUCCAGCCUCACCUCUCCGUCAAUAGGGAGACCAGAAUUAGAUGCAUAUAUAGAGUCAGCACUGGGAGACUUGCAAGAUGAUGUGAUGGAGUCCUGACCGACAGGACUUGUUGUAUUCUGUGCCUCUUGGGCUUACAAUCAGAGGGGCUGCCUCAUAGAGAUCCUAUUAACUUACUCAUAUUCUAAUUCUAUGGGCCAUUUCUAAAGAAAUUAUAAACCAAUUACAGGAAAUGGGACAAUACACACCAACCCAAUCUGUAUUGAUCCCGAGACAGAGAGAGACCUCCAGCCUAGCCAGUCACUGUCUGAACCCAGAGUCUCAGAUACACAGAGAGACCUCCAGCCUAGCCAGUCACUGUCUGAACCCAGAGUCUCAGAUACACAGAGAGACCUCCAGCUGAGCCAGUCCUGUCUGAACCCAGAGUCUCAGAUACACAGAGAGACCUCCAGCCUAGCCAGUCACUGUCUAAACCCGGUGUCCAGUGUCCCAGACACAAAGAGAGACCUCCAGCCUAGCCAGUCAAUAUCUGAAGACAUUGGGUAACUCUACACUUAGAAUUAGUGGAGACUCGAGGAACCCUGGAGUUCCUCAAGGAACCAUUGUUAUUCAUUGCAAAUCCCAAAGUUGUAAUAGUUAGCAUUUUAUUACUAUAUGUAAUCAGUAAUGUUAAUAUUGUACUACAAUAUGCAUAAAUAUUCAAGGGAAAUAAAUGAAUCACAUGUAUCACAUUUACUCUAAUGGGUGGCCAAAACCUGAAAGCCACGCCUCCAAUCUUCUGAUAGGCUGCCACCUAAAUACCCCAAAUACCUCUACAAUAUAUUACUAAUAAGGUAAAAAAAAAUUAACCCCUCCCCAUCCAUGUGAAAAGGUUUGAACCUUAACACAUGCAUUCACCGAAAACCCUUUUCCUCAAAGAACAUUUUACAACUGGAAAGGUUUCCCCUAUGGGCAAUUAUUUAAACUCCAUAAAGGUUCUUCCAGAUUCCUUUACUUAUAAGAGUAAAGUAAGUCACAGUAUAGUCCUCCUGGACACUC
Oncorhynchus masou masou (cherry salmon) is the source of this 1335-nucleotide long non-coding RNA. RefSeq lists it as uncharacterized. The record is from RefSeq and is a predicted model, not a curated record. The transcript is spliced from 5 exons. Lineage: Eukaryota; Metazoa; Chordata; Actinopteri; Salmoniformes; Salmonidae.